RNAcentral lists this ribosomal RNA (252 nucleotides) under uncultured bacterium. RNAcentral's name for it is "partial 16S ribosomal RNA". It matches the Rfam family "Bacterial small subunit ribosomal RNA", at positions 524 to 776 of the family's 1533-position model. The record is from RNAcentral.
UACGUAGGGGGCUAGCGUUUUCCGGAAUUACUGGGCGUAAAGGGUGCGUAGGUGGUUUCUUAAGUCAGAGGUGAAAGGCUACGGCUCAACCGUAGUAAGCCUUUGAAACUGGGAAACUUGAGUGCAGGAGAGGAGAGCGGAAUUCCCGGUGUAGCGGUGGAAUGCGCAGAUAUCGGGAAGAACACCGAUGGCGAAGGCAGCUCUCUGGGCCGUCACUGACGCUGAGGCGCGAAAGCUGGGGGAGCGAACAGG